UUUUAUGGAGAGUUUGAUCCUGGCUCAGGAUGAACGCUGGCGGCGUGCCUAAUACAUGCAAGUCGAGCGAACGGACGAGAAGCUUGCUUCUCUGAUGUUAGCGGCGGACGGGUGAGUAACACGUGGAUAACCUACCUAUAAGACUGGGAUAACUUCGGGAAACCGGAGCUAAUACCGGAUAAUAUUUUGAACCGCAUGGUUCAAAAGUGAAAGACGGGCUUGCUGUCACUUAUAGAUGGAUCCGCGCUGCAUUAGCUAGUUGGUAAGGUAACGGCUUACCAAGGCAGCGAUGCAUAGCCGACCUGAGAGGGUGGUCGGCCACACGGGAACUGAGACACGGUCCAGACUCCUACGGGAGGCAGCAGUAGGGAAUCUUCCGCAAUGGGCGAAAGCCUGACGGAGCAACGCCGCGUGAGUGAUGAAGGUCUUCGGAUCGUAAAACUCUGUUAUUAGGGAAGAACAUAUGUGUAAGUAACUGUGCAC
This 483-nucleotide ribosomal RNA is filed under the name Staphylococcus aureus. RNAcentral describes it as "bacterial SSU rRNA". It matches the Rfam family "Bacterial small subunit ribosomal RNA", at positions 1 to 473 of the family's 1533-position model. Lineage: Bacteria; Bacillati; Bacillota; Bacilli; Caryophanales; Staphylococcaceae. The record is from RNAcentral.